RNAcentral lists this non-coding RNA (227 nucleotides) under Exiguobacterium oxidotolerans. RNAcentral describes it as "T-box". It matches the Rfam family "T-box leader". From Rfam's summary of the family: Uncharged tRNA acts as the effector for transcription antitermination of genes in the T-box leader family. Lineage: Bacteria; Bacillati; Bacillota; Bacilli; Caryophanales. The record is from RNAcentral. RNAcentral also lists the same sequence under 1 other name.
CUUAAAUCAAUGACAAGGACAGGUCUUACUCAGACUGCUGCAAGCGAAUCGGGGACUGGUGUGAGCCCGAACAGUAAGUGAGAAUGGAUAUCCCCUUCGAGUGUGAGACUGAACCAUUAAGUAAGUCGCACCGAUUCGCCCCCGUUAUCGGGCUCUUAAGUGGUAGUUCGUACGGUUGAACUACUAGUAGGGUGGUACCGCGAGUUCAAGCCAAGCUCGUCCCUAUA